RNAcentral lists this long non-coding RNA (229 nucleotides) under Elaeis guineensis (African oil palm). RNAcentral describes it as "long non-coding RNA (EGUI_LNC063250)". The record is from RNAcentral. Lineage: Eukaryota; Viridiplantae; Streptophyta; Magnoliopsida; Arecales; Arecaceae.
GGCCAGCAGUGAAGGCCCAAAUAUUGGCAGAUUUUAUAGUGGAGUGUACUAUCUCAGAGGAGGUCGAACUUGAACAAGGUGAAAUUGACGGCCUGGAGUCCCGACCGAGCUCCCCCAAAGAAGAAGCAGGUCCCUCUAGUUGCUUUUGGACCCUCUACGUGGAUGGAUCUUCUAACAUGUCAGGUGCAGACGCGGGCCUGAUCUUGAUCAGUCCAGAGGGAGUCAUCGC